Molecule: ribosomal RNA, 533 nt
Filed under: uncultured bacterium
Lineage: Bacteria
Description: bacterial SSU rRNA
Rfam family: Bacterial small subunit ribosomal RNA
Source: RNAcentral
UGAGGAAUAUUGCGCAAUGGGCGAAAGCCUGACGCAGCGACGCCGCGUGGGGGAUGAAGGUUUUCGGAUUGUAAACCCCUUUCAGGAGGGACGAAGCGAAAGUGACGGUACCUCCAGAAGAAGCCCCGGCCAACUACGUGCCAGCAGCCGCGGUAAUACGUAGGGGGCGAGCGUUGUCCGGAUUUAUUGGGCGUAAAGAGCUCGUAGGCGGCUCAACAAGUCGGCCGUGAAAGCCUGAGGCUCAACCUCAGGACGCCGGUCGAAACUGUUGUGGCUAGGGUUCGGUAGAGGAGAGUGGAAUUCCCGGUGUAGCGGUGAAAUGCGCAGAUAUCGGGAGGAACACCAGUAGCGAAGGCGGCUCUCUGGGCCGACACCGACGCUGAGGAGCGAAAGCUAGGGGAGCAAACAGGAUUAGAUACCCUGGUAGUCCUAGCUGUAAACGUUGGGCACUAGGUGUGGCGGAUUCAUUGACAUCUGCCGUGCCGAAGCUAACGCAUUAAGUGCCCCGCCUGGGGAGUACGGUCGCAAGGCUA